GGAUGUGAGGACGAUCUGGCUGUGACAUCUGUCACCCCAUUGAUCGCCAGGGUUGAUUUGGCUGAUCUGGCUGGCUAGGCGGGUGUCCCCUUCCUCCCUCACUGCUCCAUGUGCGUCCCUUCUGAAGCUGCGCGCUCCGUCGAAGAGGACGACCGUUCUUUGGUCAAGGGUAUACAAGUAGCUGCGCUCCCCUUCUAGAACCUCCAAACAAGCUCUCAAAUAUAUGACGUGCAAUUAUUUAUCCCCAUUAUGAGGCAAGCCUUCCUUU
This 268-nucleotide small nuclear RNA is filed under the name Castor canadensis (American beaver). RNAcentral describes it as "7SK RNA (ENSCCNG00000001768.1)". It matches the Rfam family "7SK RNA". From Rfam's summary of the family: 7SK was discovered as an abundant small nuclear RNA in the mid-70s but a possible function has only recently been suggested. Two independent studies have found that 7SK RNA binds the CDK9/cyclin T complex (known as elongation factor P-TEFb). The record is from Rfam by way of RNAcentral. Lineage: Eukaryota; Metazoa; Chordata; Mammalia; Rodentia; Castoridae.